This 606-nucleotide long non-coding RNA is filed under the name Ananas comosus (pineapple). RNAcentral describes it as "long non-coding RNA (ACOM_LNC009180)". Lineage: Eukaryota; Viridiplantae; Streptophyta; Magnoliopsida; Poales; Bromeliaceae. The record is from RNAcentral.
GACGUGACGGUAGGAGAUUACAAAUCCAACCAAGGUGGAGAUUGUUAGGAUUUGGUUAGAUUUGUAAUUGAAUCCUACUUGGAUUAGAAUUAAUAUUUAAAUCUGUUGGAAAUAAAUCAUGAUUUAAAUAUUAAUCAGAGGUUAAAAUCUAACUAGAUUAGGAUUAAUAUUUAAAUCUAUUAAAGAUUAAUUAAGAUAGAUUUAGAUAUUAAUUGGAGUAGAAAUCCUAAAUAUAUUAGGAUUGGGGUACGUUUUGGUGGAGUAUUAUAAAUAGCUCUUGAUGGUGCUCCUUUUUUGACAUGAGUACGGGAGAGAGAAAAGGCCUCUUGGUGCCGUACCAGAGAGAGAAAAAGAGAGAGAGAGAGUUAUUUAGUGCACCUAGUGCAUGGGUGCGCGCGGAUGAUUGUCUUCUUUAUGGGAUUAUAGAAGACGAGAGAAGGGUAGAAGAGAUUCAAGAAAGAGGGCUCGGGUUGUAGUUACUCUGUGCAGAAGAGGAGUCAGGUGUAAUCUUCUCUUAUUUAAUGAAUCUUAUUUUACCCGCAUAUUUUCUGUUUUGGUAUUUCUCUCUUUUAUGAUUGUAUCAGCUUUUGCUGAGGAGACGGGUNN